Molecule: ribosomal RNA, 420 nt
Filed under: uncultured bacterium
Lineage: Bacteria
Description: bacterial SSU rRNA
Rfam family: Bacterial small subunit ribosomal RNA
Source: RNAcentral
GAGGAAUAUUGCGCAAUGGAGGCAACUCUGACGCAGCCAUGCCGCGUGCAGGAAGAAGGCGCUACGCGUUGUAAACUGCUUUUAACCGGGAAGAAACCCCAGGACGUGUCCUGGGUUGACGGUACCGGAGGAAUAAGCACCGGCUAACUUCGUGCCAGCAGCCGCGGUAAUACGAAGGGUGCAAGCGUUAUCCGGAUUCAUUGGGUUUAAAGGGUGCGUAGGUGGGGCGUUAAGUCAGUGGUGAAAGCCUACAGCUCAACUGUAGAAUUGCCAUUGAUACUGGCGCUCUUGAGUGCGCUUGAAGUAGGCGGAAUGUGCCGUGUAGCGGUGAAAUGCUUAGAUAUGGCACAGAACACCAAUUGCGAAGGCAGCUUACUAAGGCGAUACUGACACUGAGGCACGAAAGCGUGGGGAUCGAAC